RNAcentral lists this ribosomal RNA (476 nucleotides) under uncultured bacterium. Its description in RNAcentral is "partial 16S ribosomal RNA". It matches the Rfam family "Bacterial small subunit ribosomal RNA", at positions 28 to 523 of the family's 1533-position model. The record is from RNAcentral.
GACGAACGCUGGCGGCGCGCCUCAUACAUGCAAGUCGAGCGAGAACCAGGGCUUGCCCUGGGGAGAGCGGCGAACGGGUGCGUAUCACGUGAGCAACCUGCCCCGAAGACCGGGAUAACUCGAGGAAACUCGGGCUAAUACCGGAUGUCCUCGGUGGACCGCAUGGUCCGGCGAGGAAAUGGAUUCCGCUUCGGGAUGGGCUCGCGGCCUAUCAGCUUGUUGGUGGGGUAACGGCCUACCAAGGCGACGACGGGUAGCUGGUCUGAGAGGACGAUCAGCCACACUGGGACUGAGACACGGCCCAGACUCCUACGGGAGGCAGCAGUAGGGAAUCUUGCGCAAUGGGCGAAAGCCUGACGCAGCGACGCCGCGUGCGGGAUGAAGGCCUUCGGGUCGUAAACCGCUUUCAGCAGGGACGAAAUUGACGGUACCUGCAGAAGAAGGCCCGGCCAACUACGUGCCAGCCGCCGCGGUAA